ACUUUCAAAGGAUAGCAGCAAUCCACUAAUCUUAGGCAUUAACUCCCUUGGUGCAACUCCAAGUGAAAGUA
Molecule: transfer RNA, 71 nt
Filed under: Lepidodactylus lugubris
Lineage: Eukaryota; Metazoa; Chordata; Lepidosauria; Squamata; Gekkonidae
Description: tRNA-Leu
Source: RNAcentral